AUGCAUCUAUUUGACAGACCUGGAGUAGUUACUGUCUGCUGCUAAGGUUUCCACUACAGAUGCAAGAAAAAAAAUAUUCUCGAGUUUUCUGUCUGUCUAGUUGUGGCUGCUGAGAUUGAAUAGAGGAAUACAGUG
Gorilla gorilla gorilla (western lowland gorilla) is the source of this 135-nucleotide small nucleolar RNA. NCBI's taxonomy places the organism in Eukaryota, Metazoa, Chordata, Mammalia, Primates, Hominidae. The record is from Ensembl.